GGAAUUUGGGGAAAAAUCCAAAAUAAAUUGGGGAGAAAUCAAAAAAGAAUUUGGGGAGAAUAAGGAGAAAUUUGGGGAGAAAUCAAGAGACAUUUUGGGGGAAAUCCAGAAAAAUUUGGGGAGAAUAUGGAGAAAUUUGGGGGAGACUCCAGAGAAAUUUUGGACAAAACCCCAAAGGACCUUCCCUGUCUGAUUUUUCCCGAUUUUUUCUCUUUUUUGGGAUCAGAUCCGUCCUGCAGGACCUCGCGGCGCCGCCCUGUGGGAGAGGAGAGGGAAAAAUGGGAGAAUUUUGGGAGAAAUUCCCAGCAGAGAGUGAGGCCAGCCCAGCCCUGCGGCGUCCCAGGAGGAAUUCUGCCACGGGAGGUAAAUCCAGUGCCUUUUCCAUGGAAUUCCUUCCAUUUUUCCAUGGAAUUCCUUCCAUUUUUCCAUGGGAAUUCCUUCAGUUUUUCCAUGGGAAUUCCUCCAAUCCUUCCUUUUUCAUGGCAAUUCCUUCAGUUUUUCCAUGGAAAUUCCUUCAAUCCUUUCUUUUUCCCCAGGGAAUUCCUUCAGUCCUUCCUUUUUCCCAUAGGAAUUCAUCCAAUCCUUCAUUUUUCCAUAGGAAUUCCUUCAAUCCUUAAUUUUUCCAUGGGAAUUCCUCCAAUCCUUCCCUUUUCCAUUGGAAUUCUUCCAAUCCUUCAUUUUUCCAUAGGAAUUCCUUCAAUCCUUAAUUUUUCCAUGGGAAUUCCUCCAGUCCUUAAUUUUUCCAUAGGAAUUCUUCCAAUCCUUCCUUUUUCCAUGGGAAUUCCUUCAGUCCUUCCUUUUUUCCUUUUCCUUUUUCCAUCCUUUCCUUUUUCUUUUUUUGGGAAUUCCUCCAAUGUUUCCUUUCCCCUUUUCCCCUUUCCUUUUUUCCCCUUUUUCCCUUUCUUUUUCCUUUUUGGGAAUUCCUCCAAUCCUUCCUUUUUUCCUUUUCCUUUUCUCCAUCCUUUCCUUUUCCUUCUUUGGGAAUUCCUCCAAUCUUUCCCUUUUUCCCUUUCCCCCUUUUUCCCUCCUUUCUUUUUCCUUUUUUUUGGGAAUUCAUCCAAUCCUUCCUUUUUCCACGGGAAUUCUUCCAAUCCUUGGAGGAAAAUUGGAGAAGAGCUGGGAAUUCCCAGAAAUUCCCGGGGAAGUUGGUGAAGAGCUGGGAAUUCGGGUGGAAUUUGGUUAAAAAGUAGUUGGAAUUUGGAUGGAAUUUGGGAUUUGGUUGGGAUUGGGAAGCUCAGAAGCGAAAGGUUAAAGAAAAGCAGAAUUUCGGGAUGAUCCUGGUGUGAUCCCAGAAUUUUGGGAUGAGCCUGGAAUCCAGGGAAUUUUCCAGAGCUCUGGGAGCAGCUGAAAUCCAGGGAAUUUUUGGGGAGGGAUUUGGGGCCGUUCCAGGCUGUGGGAUCGGCCCUGACCCCGCAGCUGUUGGCUCUUAUCAAAGAUUUUCCCAAGUUUUUUGUUUUUCUUGGGAAUAAAGGAUCCGGCACCUGGAGCUGGGGACAGAGUCCCUCCCUGGGGCCGCGCUGGGGGCUCCAGAAACCCAAAAAAUCCCAAAGAAAUCCCAAAGAAAUCAUUUAAAAAGGGGAAAAAAUGUGUGGAGGGGAAGGUCUGGGCUGAGUGUGGCUCUGUGGGAUGGGGUUGGGCUCCAGAAAUCCCAAAAAUCCCAAA
RNAcentral lists this long non-coding RNA (1662 nucleotides) under Taeniopygia guttata (zebra finch). Its description in RNAcentral is "lncRNA (ENSTGUG00000028569.1)". Lineage: Eukaryota; Metazoa; Chordata; Aves; Passeriformes; Estrildidae. The record is from RNAcentral.